Molecule: ribosomal RNA, 299 nt
Filed under: Blastocystis sp. subtype 3
Lineage: Eukaryota; Bigyra; Opalinata; Blastocystidae
Description: partial 18S small subunit ribosomal RNA
Rfam family: Eukaryotic small subunit ribosomal RNA
Source: RNAcentral
GAUUAAGCCAUGCAUGUGUAAGUAUAAAUAGUUAACUUUGAAACUGCGAAUGGCUCAUUAUAUCAGUUAUAGUUUAUUUGAUGAAGAAUACUAAUUGGUAGUAAUUCUAGAGCUAAUACAUGUAUAAAGUCUUGUAGACUGCAUUUAUUAGAAUGAAAACCAUAGGUUUCGGCCUAUUCGUGAGUAAUAAUAACUAAUCAUAUCGUAUGCUUAUGUAACGAUGUGUCUUUCAAGUUUCUGCCCUAUCAGCUUUCGAUGGUAGUGUAUUGGACUACCAUGGCAGUAACGGGUAACGAAGA